CAAGAAGAACUAGAGGCUCAAAAUGACGAGGCAGCUGCAGUAGGAUUACUGCAGGAGAUGCAGGGGACACCCAAAUCAGAGAAGUUGCAAAAUCUGUUUUGGGGAUGGCGUUACAGAUUUCGCAGGAUUUACUGGAAUCUCAGACGUAUCAACCAGCGGCUGAUCAGGCGUCUCCGACGUCUCAGACGUAUCAUGGGUCGUAGAUGGUGGCGCCAUCAGCAUUGUGGAUAAGCACCUGUAUUGAGGAUCCUCUCCUGUCUCCAUAUUGAAUGGACCACUAUGGAACUCACACGUCACCUGACAUCACCUGCCAUUAUUACCAACGGACGCAGAUCUGCACAUCACAAUAUAUCCAUCCAUUGUACCGUCCAUAUCUUCUGAAUGUACCGUCCAUAUCUUCUGAAUGUACCGUCCAUAUCUUCUGAAUGUA
Long non-coding RNA from Salvelinus namaycush (lake trout), 430 nucleotides. RefSeq lists it as uncharacterized. The record is from RefSeq and is a predicted model, not a curated record. NCBI's taxonomy places the organism in Eukaryota, Metazoa, Chordata, Actinopteri, Salmoniformes, Salmonidae. The transcript is spliced from 3 exons.